GUUUUAAUAGUUUAAUAAAAACUUUGGUCUUGUAAAUCAAAAAUAAGAACUAAUUCUUUUAAAACU
This 66-nucleotide transfer RNA is filed under the name Cylindrotoma sp. ZK-2016. RNAcentral's name for it is "tRNA-Thr". It matches the Rfam family "tRNA". From Rfam's summary of the family: Transfer RNA (tRNA) molecules are approximately 80 nucleotides in length. Their secondary structure includes four short double-helical elements and three loops (D, anti-codon, and T loops). The record is from RNAcentral. Lineage: Eukaryota; Metazoa; Arthropoda; Insecta; Diptera; Cylindrotomidae.